This 531-nucleotide ribosomal RNA is filed under the name uncultured bacterium. RNAcentral describes it as "bacterial SSU rRNA". It matches the Rfam family "Bacterial small subunit ribosomal RNA", at positions 979 to 1509 of the family's 1533-position model. The record is from RNAcentral.
CCUUGACAUACUAAGAACUUUCCAGAGAUGGAUUGGUGCCUUCGGGAACUUAGAUACAGGUGCUGCAUGGCUGUCGUCAGCUCGUGUCGUGAGAUGUUGGGUUAAGUCCCGCAACGAGCGCAACCCUUUUCCUAUUUGCCAGCGGGUCAUGCCGGGAACUUUAAGGAUACUGCCAGUGACAAACUGGAGGAAGGCGGGGACGACGUCAAGUCAUCAUGGCCCUUACGGCCAGGGCUACACACGUGCUACAAUGGUCGGUACAAAGGGUUGCUACCUCGCGAGAGGAUGCUAAUCUCAAAAAGCCGAUCGUAGUCCGGAUCGCAGUCUGCAACUCGACUGCGUGAAGUCGGAAUCGCUAGUAAUCGCGGAUCAGAAUGCCCGCGGUCCGAAUACGUUCCGGCCUUGUACACACCGCCCGUCACACCAUGGGAGUUUGUUGCACCAGAAGUAGGUAGUCUAACCGCAAGGAGGACGCUUACCACGGUGUGGCCGAUGACUGGGGUGAAGUCGUAACAAGGUAGGCGUAGAUGA